RNAcentral lists this transfer RNA (59 nucleotides) under Streptomyces sp. MnatMP-M17. It matches the Rfam family "tRNA", at positions 15 to 71 of the family's 71-position model. From Rfam's summary of the family: Transfer RNA (tRNA) molecules are approximately 80 nucleotides in length. Lineage: Bacteria; Bacillati; Actinomycetota; Actinomycetes; Kitasatosporales; Streptomycetaceae. The record is from Rfam by way of RNAcentral.
CUCGGUAGCUCGCUGGGCUCAUAACCCAGAGGUCGCAGGUUCAAAUCCUGUCCCCGCUA